RNAcentral lists this unclassified non-coding RNA (296 nucleotides) under Hevea brasiliensis (rubber tree). Lineage: Eukaryota; Viridiplantae; Streptophyta; Magnoliopsida; Malpighiales; Euphorbiaceae. The record is from RNAcentral.
CAAUUGGAUAAAAUAUUCAAUUCAAAUUUAGUCAACAAGGAAAAUAAAAUAAAAAGAGAAAUACACAUUCUUCCCAAACAGAAAAGUAUAGGUCUUUCUCGUGAAUUCUCUAGAGCAUUUUGGAAGAGCUUUUGAAACGUGAUAUUCACGUGUAAUACGUUAUACUCUUUUCUCAAAACAAUAAUAUUUUAAUUUAUUUUUUUGUUAAUUACCAGGUUUCAUAUCGUGGAUUUUGGCUCCCGGUUUUUGUUUGUCUGUUUUCUCCUCCAAGCGUUUUCAGGUGUAUUUUUUCAUGG